RNAcentral lists this ribosomal RNA (407 nucleotides) under uncultured prokaryote. RNAcentral's name for it is "bacterial SSU rRNA". It matches the Rfam family "Bacterial small subunit ribosomal RNA", at positions 355 to 776 of the family's 1533-position model. The record is from RNAcentral. RNAcentral also lists the same sequence under 1 other name.
UGGGGAAUAUUGCGCAAUGGGGGAAACCCUGACGCAGCAACGCCGCGUGAAGGAUGAAGGUUUUCGGAUCGUAAACUUCUUUGAUGAGGGACGAAACAAAUGACGGUACCUCAAAAACAAGCCACGGCUAACUACGUGCCAGCAGCCGCGGUAAUACGUAGGUGGCGAGCGUUGUCCGGAUUUACUGGGUGUAAAGGGCGUGUAGGCGGGAAGAUAAGUCAGAUGUGAAAUUCCGGGGCUCAACCCCGGCGCUGCAUCUGAAACUAUUUUUCUUGAGUGCUGGAGAGGAAAGCGGAAUUCCUAGUGUAGCGGUGAAAUGCGUAGAUAUUAGGAGGAACACCAGUGGCGAAGGCGGCUUUCUGGACAGUAACUGACGCUGAGGCGCGAAAGCGUGGGGAGCAAACAGG